Molecule: ribosomal RNA, 534 nt
Filed under: uncultured bacterium
Lineage: Bacteria
Description: bacterial SSU rRNA
Rfam family: Bacterial small subunit ribosomal RNA
Source: RNAcentral
AGAGUUUGAUCAUGGCUCAGAAUCAACGCUGGCGGCGUGCCUAACACAUGCAAGUCGAACGCGAAAGAGGCUUCGGCCUCAAUUGAGUGGCGAACGGGUGAGUAACACGUGGGUGACCUACCUUCGAGUGGGGGAUAACGUCCCGAAAGGGACGCUAAUACCGCAUAACAUCCUGCUUUUGAACAGGCAGAGAUCAAAGCUGGGGAUCGCAAGACCUAGCACUUGAAGAGGGGCCCGCGUCUGAUUAGCUAGUUGGUGGGGUAACGGCUCACCAAGGCAACGAUCAGUAUCCGGCCUGAGAGGGCGGACGGACACACUGGGACUGAGACACGGCCCAGACUCCUACGGGAGGCAGCAGUCGGGAAUUUUGGGCAAUGGGCGCAAGCCUGACCCAGCAACGCCGCGUGAAGGAUGAAGUUUUUCGGAAUGUAAACUUCACAAGAAUGGGAAGAAUAAGUCCUGGCUAAUAUCCAGGACGAUGACGGUACCAUUUGUAAGCUCCGGCUAACUCCGUGCCAGCAGCCGCGGUAAUAC